CCAUACCUCCCAUACCACCCUGAACAUGCCCGAUCUCUGAAGUUAAGCAGGUUCGGGCCUGGUUAUUACUUGGAUGGGAGACCGCCUGGGAAUAUUGGGUGCUGUAGGAA
RNAcentral lists this ribosomal RNA (110 nucleotides) under Anolis carolinensis (green anole). The record is from RNAcentral. Lineage: Eukaryota; Metazoa; Chordata; Lepidosauria; Squamata; Anolidae.